GAAGUGAACCGGAUGGUUGCUCCGAUAUUUAUCGGAGAGGAAAGUCCGAACUCCACAGGGCGGAGUGUUCCGUGAAAACGGAAGGGGAGUAAUCCUACGGAAAGUGGCACAGAAACCAGGUACAGGUAAUGCUGUAGUGAAAAGGCUAAACCCCACUCGGAGCAAGACCGAAUAGCAGAGAAGAGACGGCCCGUCUCGCUACUACUCUACGGGUUGGUCGCUUAGAUAAAUAACCAUCGUUCCGAUUUGUAGUCGGAAUACAGGAUUCGGCUUACAGGUUCAUUUCAAGC
This 290-nucleotide RNase P RNA is filed under the name Elusimicrobiota bacterium. Its description in RNAcentral is "RNase P RNA component class A". It matches the Rfam family "Bacterial RNase P class A". From Rfam's summary of the family: Ribonuclease P (RNase P) is a ubiquitous endoribonuclease, found in archaea, bacteria and eukarya as well as chloroplasts and mitochondria. Its best characterised activity is the generation of mature 5'-ends of tRNAs by cleaving the 5'-leader elements of precursor-tRNAs. Cellular RNase Ps are ribonucleoproteins. The record is from RNAcentral. Lineage: Bacteria; Pseudomonadati; Elusimicrobiota.